Long non-coding RNA from Alosa sapidissima (American shad), 1617 nucleotides. RefSeq lists it as uncharacterized. NCBI's taxonomy places the organism in Eukaryota, Metazoa, Chordata, Actinopteri, Clupeiformes, Clupeidae. The record is from RefSeq and is a predicted model, not a curated record. The transcript has 3 exons.
GGCCAUUUAUAACCUCAACAUUCUAAUGUAACUCAGACCAUCGUUAGACAUGCUGAUGCAAACUAAGGAUGAGCGUAUUUGAGCAGGAGAGCUUAGAGAGAUGCCUGUGCUCUAGGUUAGAAAGAGCCCAGGUGGACCUUGCUGACCGCAUGCAGCAGCUGGACAAACAUUUUCUGUGCAUAGAGAGGGAGCUCCAUGCAAAAACCAAUGGAUGGUUCAGGAAAGGGAUGGCUGAUAUGCUGCAGAUGUUAUGACAGCUGCUGAACAGGACUAUAGGUAUCACUGUUCCAGAUAUGUUUCAUGAUACAGCUGCUGAACAGGACUAGGUCUCAAUGGCACAGCUGCUGAACAGGUAUCAAGGGCAAGGAUUCAAGGUCAAUCGCAGUUGCAGUUGAAUGCAAACAGUGCAAACUACUUCUUGUAAAUGGGGGAGUCAGUGAUUUGGGGCCUAAGGCACAGACAGGAAUGGGUCCUCAAUGUCUGUCAAUAAACAUCUUAUUUAUCAGUCUAAAACCAAUCACUUCUGUUAAAAUAUUACUUACAGUUAUAAUGUAAAGACUCUAUAAAGUACUCCUGAUCUGUGUUUGUAGUCUGUUCAAACAGGGAAAAAGGAAAACCUGUCAGAGAUUCAUGAACUUAAUCUACUGUGUCCUGAAAUGGAGAGGGAGUGAGCAGUCAAUUCUUAUACACCCCACCUUUUUGUAACCACAAUAUUUAUUUUUUACCUUCAAUGCAUCCUGCUUCUGGUCAACUUUUGGACAUCAUUCUAUGUGGCCUUUACUCCAUAGAACACAGGACCUUAUGGCCUUUACUCCAUAUAAGACAAGCCCUUAGUGGCACAAGCAGUCCUUUUUGAACCUCUUUUGUCAUUUGCUGCCCUUUUAUCACAUGUGUUUGUGACUUCCUUGUUUGACCAUUUGUGGACACAUUCUGUGUUCCAUGCUGAAGCCACUUCCUUAUGAGAGAGCAUGUUCAAUGAGUUGCUGUUACCUGUAUGACCUGCAUGAAUGCCAAACUGAACACUGAAAAACAUUUCUGAGACAGGAGGAAUACUUCCUCCUGAGGAUGGCCCUGUGGUUCUUCUGUAAUUUUCCUACAAAAGUAUGCAGUACAAACUGCAAAAAGUACACAAACCCACAAACACUUUCCCCUGGAAAACACCAGCAAUGUCAGAGAGUCUGUAUUUCUCUUUGUAUUCCAAUCCAAUCCAAUCCACUUUAUUUAUAUAGCACAGUUUAAACAAACACAAGGUUCCCAAAGUGCUGUACAGCAAGGUAAGAAACACAUUAAGACACCACAGAAGCACAAUAAUAGGAUAAAGUAUUAAAAUUAAAAAAAAUGUAAAAAAUAAAAGUAAAAAUACAUAAAAACUAAGAUAAAAGUAAAAAUUAUUCAAAAAUAACCUAUGGCUGUUCAUCUUAGAAGUGAUAACAUCAGCAUGGUUUGUUUUUUUUGUAUCUGGAAAAUUCUAGGCUCUAGAUCUAGGCUGCCGAUAGGUGAAAUGCAGCUCACAUGGCACCAGGAAGGUACCCUGGAAAUCCAGAGUUCUCGUGAGAGAGAGCACAAUGGAAUUGUCUCUGCGAGACACUCUGGCAAAGAGCAAUGAUGCACGUUACU